AGGUUUAUGGUUUAGAGGAAACAACACGGUUAAAGUUUUAGGUUUGAAAUUUAGAGUUUGUGGCGAAAUUGUCAGGGUUUAGGAAAAAUCAGGGUAGUUAGUUAUGAAAAAAAAUGUGCAGAUCUAAAUAUAUGUAUAUAAAAAAAAUAUGAAUAAAAAAAAACAACGGCGUUGCUAGCGCAAAAUUGCGAUCAUCGCAACUGGAUCGGAUAACACAAAUGUCACGCCUCAUACACGUAUAUGUGAAAACGGCGUAUUGACACGAUCCGAUCCGAAAACAUAAUCAAAUUAUAACAUAAAAUAGAAAUAUAUAUAUAUUUAACCAAA
RNAcentral lists this long non-coding RNA (327 nucleotides) under Lathyrus oleraceus (garden pea). RNAcentral's name for it is "Pisum sativum (pea) long non-coding RNA (PSAT_LNC006357)". Lineage: Eukaryota; Viridiplantae; Streptophyta; Magnoliopsida; Fabales; Fabaceae. The record is from RNAcentral.